GAAACAAGUGAAAAAAACAGGAAAAACAGAGAUAAGUUGGAGAUAAUACAUUGUGCAGGGACAAAGGCAUUUAGUCGCCUUAGAACUGAAAAUCGAAAUCCUGAGAAUGGAGAGGAAGUUGGUCGUAUUGACCUUUUCAAGCUCACACGAUAUAGCGAAAAGAAAUCUGCAUGGGUUGGUGAUACUGCAAAGAAUGCUUUUGAAGAGAUGAAGAAUCUACAAAACGAGCCACAAAUGAAUGAAGAAACUGGUGAAAUAAUGUCUGAAGAUGAGAUCUAUGAUAAAGUUCUCUCGAAAAUUGUUGGUCCACCUCGAUCAGGCUAUAUACGAGGCUUAUGAGCUGGGCCAAAGCCUAAAAGAUCUAAA
This is a long non-coding RNA of Rosa rugosa (rugosa rose), 366 nucleotides long. RefSeq lists it as uncharacterized. The record is from RefSeq and is a predicted model, not a curated record. Lineage: Eukaryota; Viridiplantae; Streptophyta; Magnoliopsida; Rosales; Rosaceae. The transcript is spliced from 3 exons.